AUUCUGCGUGCAAUAAUAUUCUUUUUUAUUCUUACUCGCUCCUAGAAUAUGGAAAGGCACAAUGUAGAACCAGAACCUACCAAAAGCUGCCAUAGAGAAGAAGCACCAUCACUGGCAGCAACACCGUAACCAUAUGCUAGCGUGUGCCGUGAACCGCCCUGGCUUCAAGGACUGGGAGUUAGGCGAAUCAACGUCACCCAUACAAACUUCGAUGCCACCACCACCUCCAUAACCCGACCCAUACGACCUUCACUCAAACCACCGCGUGACCUUCAGAUCUGUCUUUCCACGAUGGCUCCCUCGCUGACUCGGACACCACGGCCAUGUCCUUGAACACGCCAAUGUUGAACUCCGAUAGUGUGUCGCCGCUGGUGCUAGGCGAACCAAUGGACGGAGGCACAGGUUCAAGUUUGGGUUGGGUUGCGGUUCGAUGCCUCUAUUUGUCCCAAGCCUAUGCGUGGGCAUCUUGCGGGCCUUUGCAAGUUACACAUUGGUUGAGCUUUGUGUCAGGUGGCAUAGUGUUAUCCUUAAUUAUUCUUGUGGCCUCACACUCUAGAUCCAGCACUAUUGCGGCCUGGGCGAUUGGACCGUAAAGUUGAGUUUGGCUUUCCUGACUUAGAGAGUAGGAUGCAGAUAUUCAAGAUACACACAAGAACCAUGAACUGCGAAAGGGAUAUUCGAUUUGAACUUCUGGCUCGGCUUUGCCCAAAUUCCACUGUACCAACAUUUUUUUGAAACUGGAAAAUUUAUAAUUUAUCUUGUACUUUUGAUCAUCAAUCUAUUAAGGAUUUCAACAUUCUGCUAGUAUACUUAUUGGUCAAACUUGUUUAUGGUUAAGGGAUUAUUUUUCUAAUUAAUAUAGGCGCACCUGUGCACUUUUCUUUUGUGGCUUGUGCCAAACUACAGCCUUGGUCAUUUUUGUACCUUCAUCACUAUAACUUUAUGAAUUUAUAUCUAUAUAACAUUAUUGUCUUGGCUAA
Long non-coding RNA from Glycine soja, 980 nucleotides. RefSeq lists it as uncharacterized. The transcript has 3 exons. The record is from RefSeq and is a predicted model, not a curated record. NCBI's taxonomy places the organism in Eukaryota, Viridiplantae, Streptophyta, Magnoliopsida, Fabales, Fabaceae.